This 157-nucleotide ribosomal RNA is filed under the name Phillipsia carnicolor. RNAcentral describes it as "5.8S rRNA". It matches the Rfam family "5.8S ribosomal RNA". Rfam says of the family: 5.8S ribosomal RNA (5.8S rRNA) is a component of the large subunit of the eukaryotic ribosome. It is transcribed by RNA polymerase I as part of the 45S precursor that also contains 18S and 28S rRNA. Lineage: Eukaryota; Fungi; Ascomycota; Pezizomycetes; Pezizales; Sarcoscyphaceae. The record is from RNAcentral.
AAACUUUCAACAACGGAUCUCUUGGUUCUCGCAUCGAUGAAGAACGCAGCGAAAUGCGAUAAGUAGUGUGAAUUGCAGAAUUCAGUGAAUCAUCGAAUCUUUGAACGCACAUUGCGCCCUCUGGCAUUCCGGAGGGCAUGCCUGUCCGAGCGUUAUU